This 253-nucleotide ribosomal RNA is filed under the name uncultured bacterium. RNAcentral's name for it is "partial 16S ribosomal RNA". It matches the Rfam family "Bacterial small subunit ribosomal RNA", at positions 524 to 776 of the family's 1533-position model. The record is from RNAcentral.
UACGAAGGGGGCUAGCGUUGCUCGAAAUCACUGGGCGUAAAGCGCACGUAGGCGGGUCUUUAAGUCAGGGGUGAAAUCCUGGAGCUCAACUCCAGAACUGCCUUUGAUACUGAGGAUCUCGAGUCCGGGAGAGGUGAGUGGAACUCCGAGUGUAGAGGUGAAAUUCGUAGAUAUUCGGAAGAACACCAGUGGCGAAGGCGGCUCACUGGCCCGGUACUGACGCUGAGGUGCGAAAGCGUGGGGAGCAAACAGG